AUCGGGUCGUGUCAAAAAUUGUCAGGCCUAUGUUUACAUCUUUGCUCUUUGCAUUUGACUCAGAUAGGAAGAAUCUUCUCAGCAAACUUUGCAGACCCACCUCAAAUUUUCUUUUAAAAGAAAAUUGAAGAAGAAAAGAUUGUUUUAUUUGUAAUUUUUAUACACAAAAUAUGUUCCAUUGUAAAUUAAUAAGUGCAUAGAGGGAGACUCGAAGUUGAAUGAAUAGAGUAAAACAUAUUUGCUAGUUAAUUUGACUAUGCCAAAAUCUAUGAAUAAAUUGUCUUUAAUACUGACGUUGCACAAGCGAAGAGGGAUAUAAACAUAUGCUCUUGAAUAACUAAGUUUUCUAGGAUCCAUCAAAAUUUGAGAGAACUAAAAAAGUUAUGUUAUUAAUUAUUAAUUGAUAAAUAAAAUAGAAGCCAAAAGGCUUAAAUAGACAUAACCAGACCUUGGAAAGUUCAGAUUAGACCUUGGGAAGUUCAUAGGAGGUCUUAGGAAAUAAAAAGACAUUAAUCGGAUAGAAAAACGAAAAAUCUCAUUUUUAUUACAAACUUUCAAAUGCUGUUAUGGGAGUCGAACAUCAAAUUUGUAAAUUCACUUGUCUUCCUUCAGCUCAUUUCAUCUUCAAUCUAUUACCUCUACCUUAAUUCUUACCAUUUCGUCUUUAAUCCAAAAUUUAAAAUAUUUUAUUUUAUUUCUUUUUAUGUCGAAAUUGACCAAAAUCUUAUGCUACAUCAAAUACAAUAAUAUUACACCUAAAGUCUCGAGUUUGACGCCCCGCUCUUCACUAUCGCUUGUAUAAAAAGAAUACACAUACUGUGACGGCAACAUUUGGCUAUUUCAUUGGUGGUCCUAAAUAGACCUAUCGUACCCUUUUGAAUCUUUUAUUUUCUAUUCUUUUUGCCCACUUAAUGCCCUCCUCUAUCUGCAUCAUCGAACCCUUCACCAAGAAGAAAAACCGAAAAUGAAAAAACAGAACUGUGGUUGCACCACAAAAUAUUGAAUUAUUUGGUUGGUUAGUCUGGCAAGCACUGCAGAGGACGGUUUGGUAGUUGUAAAUUUCGUCUAUUUCUUAGGACUCUUUUAAAUGUUCCAGAGUAUCUGGUACUUCAAGUGUUAUAGAUGUUAAAUCUUUGUUUAAAAAAUAAAAAAUCUUAAUCUAACAGUUAAAACACCAAAAAUGUACCGGGUACUCCAUGCACCCAAAAAUUUCUACUAUCUCUCUACACAAAAUUUGCUAUAUACAUUUGUGGAUACAAAUUUCGGCCUUCUCAUUCUUGGACGAAAAUGCACAUGCAAAACAAUUACCACUUUAGGUUAAGGCCAAGAGCAUCAUGCGCCCACGAUGAAUUUGGGGAGAGGGGGGGCUUUGGCCGAAGAACCUUCGAUGCCAAAGUUAGAAUUUGAGAGUUUAGAGAAAUUUGGAGAAUUUUAGAAGAGAAUUGGAUAUAGGUUUUUGGGAGAAAUGGGAGCUAUUUAUAGGGGUGUGGCUGACCCCUAUUUGGAGAAAAUGGGUCCGGCCACUUAUGGUGGUUUUUUUGGUGUAAUUGCAAGAUAUUAUGUCAAAAUAGCAAUCAAUUAGGAAAUUAAUUAGAAAAUUAAUUAAUUAAUUCAGGUAAUUAAUCCUAAUUUGAAUGAAUAAUUGAGGGUUACCUUGUGGCGAGGAUUUGAUGAGGAUGGAUGAAAUAGGUUUUGAAUAAAUACCUAUUUUGAUCACUUUUGACCUUGAUUGAGUUGUGAUUGCCUGUUGCUUGCACGUGAGAGUUUUGGUGUAGCUUGAGGGUAAUUUUGUCAUUUUCAUCCAAAAGUACACGUGUCACCUCCAUAAUUUUCUUGAUUAUUUUUUACUCCACAAAUACCCCCACGCUUGCUAAGCUGCUCGUAGGAAAGGGCAGUAGGUGUAGAGAUCUCCAGCUUUGAUGCAAAUUCUCACUUGGAUUUGGAAUUAGAUUCUUCUAGGAAAGGGAAAUAAAUCGCCUCCAAAGCCUAUUUAAGCCUACCUUAAGUAGGGGAUUAAAUCAACUUCGGAGGGUAAUUAUUUAUGCCUACAAGAAAGAGAAAAAACUAAAGGAUAUUUGUUCCUCCUCCCCUAGCACUCUUCUUUGCUUGCCUGUGCAAAGAAUCGUCUUCCGUUGAUUUCUUUGUCUUAUCCACACCGCACUGAUGUAAGAAAAACUUAAUUCUCAUUGUCUUCUUCUUGGGUGGUGUUGCCACGGGGCAACCAUCAGGAUGGUGCGACAUGUCGGCUGGCAGGGGCCAAGAGUCGAUUUAGCAUGGGCCUAGGAGGUGGUGUGGCAAUGGUCACUGCUUGUGCUGCUCG
RNAcentral lists this long non-coding RNA (2320 nucleotides) under Malus domestica (apple). Its description in RNAcentral is "long non-coding RNA (MDOM_LNC003708)". The record is from RNAcentral. Lineage: Eukaryota; Viridiplantae; Streptophyta; Magnoliopsida; Rosales; Rosaceae.